GUCGAGCGGUAACAUUUCUAGCUUGCUAGAAGAUGACGAGCGGCGGACGGGUGAGUAAUACUUGGGGAUCUGCCUGAUGGCGGGGGACAACCACUGGAAACGGUGGCUAAUACCGCAUAAUGCCUACGGGCCAAAGUGUGGGACCUUCGGGCCACAUGCCAUCAGAUGAACCCAAGCGAGAUUAGCUAGUUGGUGAGGUAAUGGCUCACCAAGGCGACGAUCUCUAGCUGUUCUGAGAGGAUGAUCAGCCACACUGGGACUGAGACACGGCCCAGACUCCUACGGGAGGCAGCAGUGGGGAAUAUUGGACAAUGGGCGCAAGCCUGAUCCAGCCAUGCCGCGUGUGUGAAGAAGGCCUUCGGGUUGUAAAGCACUUUCAGUGGUGAGGAAGGCGUUGUAGUUAAUAGCUGCAACGAUUGACGUUAGCCACAGAAGAAGCACCGGCUAACUCCGUGCCAGCAGCCGCGGUAAUACGGAGGGUGCGAGCGUUAAUCGGAAUUACUGGGCGUAAAGCGCACGUAGGCGGCUUGUUAAGCAAGAUGUGAAAGCCCAGGGCUCAACCUUGGAAUUGCAUUUUGAACUGGCAAGCUAGAGUUUUGAAGAGGGUGGUAGAAUUUCCAGUGUAGCGGUGAAAUGCGUAGAUAUUGGAAGGAAUACCAGUGGCGAAGGCGGCCACCUGGUCAAAAACUGACGCUGAGGAGCGAAAGCGUGGGGAGCAAACAGGAUUAGAUACCCUGGUAGUCCACGCCGUAAACGAUGUCAACUAGUUGUUCGUGUCUUUGAGACGUGAGUAACGCAGCUAACGCACUAAGUUGACCGCCUGGGGAGUACGGCCGCAAGGUUAAAACUCAAAUGAAUUGACGGGGGCCCGCACAAGCGGUGGAGCAUGUGGUUUAAUUCGAUGCAACGCGAAGAACCUUACCAUCCCUUGACAUCCAGAGAAUUUUCUAGAGAUAGAUUAGUGCCUUCGGGAACUCUGAGACAGGUGCUGCAUGGCUGUCGUCAGCUCGUGUUGUGAGAUGUUGGGUUAAGUCCCGCAACGAGCGCAACCCUUAUCCUUAGUUGCCAGCACGUAAUGGUGGGAACUCUAGGGAGACUGCCGGUGAUAAACCGGAGGAAGGUGGGGACGACGUCAAGUCAUCAUGGCCCUUACGGGAUGGGCUACACACGUGCUACAAUGGCGCACACAAAGGGCAGCAAGCUAGCGAUAGCAAGCGAAUCUCAAAAAGUGCGUCGUAGUCCGGAUCGGAGUCUGCAACUCGACUCCGUGAAGUCGGAAUCGCUAGUAAUCGUGGAUCAGAAUGCCACGGUGAAUACGUUCCCGGGCCUUGUACACACCGCCCGUCACACCAUGGGAGUGGGCUGCACCAGAAGUAGAUAGCUUAACCCUCGGGAGAGCGUUUACCACGGUGUGGUUCA
Molecule: ribosomal RNA, 1419 nt
Filed under: gamma proteobacterium M6-24A
Lineage: Bacteria; Pseudomonadati; Pseudomonadota; Gammaproteobacteria
Description: bacterial SSU rRNA
Rfam family: Bacterial small subunit ribosomal RNA
Source: RNAcentral